Molecule: ribosomal RNA, 324 nt
Filed under: uncultured eukaryote
Lineage: Eukaryota
Description: partial 18S ribosomal RNA
Rfam family: Eukaryotic small subunit ribosomal RNA
Source: RNAcentral
CCCUUAGAUGUUCUGGGCUGCACGCGCGCUACACUGAAGCUAUCAACACGUUUUCCCUCCCUGAGAAGGGCGGGUAACCUUUUGAAUCAGCUUCGUGGGAGGGAUCGGGGCUUGCAAUUGUUCCCCGUGAACCAGGAAUUCCUAGUAGACGCGAGUCAUAAGCUCGCAUCGAUUAAGUCCCUGCCCUUUGUACACACCGCCCGUCGCUACUACCGAUUGAACGUUUUAGUGAGGCAUUUGGACCGACGCAUCUCAGUUUAACCGCUGGUUUGUGUUGGAAAGACUUCCAAACUUGAGCGUUUAGAGGAAGUAAAAGUCGUAACA